CCUACGGGAGGCAGCAGUGAGGAAUAUUGGUCAAUGGACGAGAGUCUGAACCAGCCAAGUAGCGUGAAGGAUGACUGCCCUAUGGGUUGUAAACUUCUUUUAUAAAGGAAUAAAACGAGGCACGUGUGCCUUUUUGCAUGUACUUUAUGAAUAAGGAUCGGCUAACUCCGUGCCAGCAGCCGCGGUAAUACGGAGGAUCCGAGCGUUAUCCGGAUUUAUUGGGUUUAAAGGGAGCGUAGAUGGGUUGUUAAGUCAGUUGUGAAAGUUUGCGGCUCAACCGUAAAAUUGCAAUUGAUACUGGCAGGCUUGAGGACAGUUGAGGUAGGCGGAAUUCGUGGUGUAGCGGUGAAAUGCUUAGAUAUCACGAAGAACCCCGAUUGCGAAGGCAGCUUACGAAACUGUGACUGACAUUGAUGCUCGAAAGUGUGGGUAUCAAACAGGAUUAGUACCGGUAGUC
Molecule: ribosomal RNA, 457 nt
Filed under: uncultured bacterium
Lineage: Bacteria
Description: partial 16S ribosomal RNA
Rfam family: Bacterial small subunit ribosomal RNA
Source: RNAcentral